Molecule: ribosomal RNA, 774 nt
Filed under: uncultured Neocallimastigales
Lineage: Eukaryota; Fungi; Neocallimastigomycota; Neocallimastigomycetes; Neocallimastigales
Description: partial large subunit ribosomal RNA
Rfam family: Eukaryotic large subunit ribosomal RNA
Source: RNAcentral
UAUGUGAUCGUCUCUCGCAUAUCAAUAAGCGGAGGAAAAGAAACUAACAAGGAUUCCCCUAGUAACGGCGAGUGAAGCGGGAAGAGCUCAAAUUUGAAAUCUUAAAGGGUUUCCCUUUACGAAUUGUAGUUUAAAGAAGUGUUUUCCGUUGAGGUUUUGGUAAAAGUUCUUUGGAAUAGGACAUCAUAGAGGGUGAGAAUCCCGUAUUUGACCUUUACUUUCAACUUUGUGAUACACUUUCAAAGAGUCGGAUUGUUUGGGAAUGCAGUCCAAAAUGGGUGGUAAAUUUCAUCUAAAGCUAAAUAUUGGCGAGAGACCGAUAGCGAACAAGUACCGUGAGGGAAAGAUGAAAAGAACUUUGAAAAGAGAGUUAAACAGUACGUGAAAUUGUCAAAAGGGAAGCGUUUGACACCAGUGUUGUUUUUCUGAAAAUCAAUUAAAGAACUGUUUAUGCUAAGCUGUUUAGACUUUAUCAGCUAUCUGUUUAGUUUUGAGCUUUUCUUUAAUGCACUUUUCAGUUAACAAGUCAACAUCAAUUUCUUUUGCUGUAAAAAAGCUUGAGGAAGGUGGCUUGAGACUCGUCUUAAGUGUUUAUAGCCUCUUGCCUAUGCAGUCGGAGAGAUUGAGGUCUGCAGCGUAGAUCCUUCGGGGCUAAAUGCAUUUGUGCUAAGUUAUAGCAUUUUAUAGACAACUUGUUGACUAUGAUUUGUCUUGUAGCUUACUCGCUUAUGUUAUUUUACCUACGCUUAGGAUGUUGAUAUGCAUGACUGAUAU